GCUUAACCGGAGAAGUGCAUCGGAAACCGGGAGGCUUGAGUGCAGAAGAGGACAGUGGAACUCCAUGUGUAGCGGUGAAAUGCGUAGAUAUAUGGAAGAACACCAGUGGCGAAGGCGGCUGUCUGGUCUGUAACUGACGCUGAGGCUCGAAAGCAUGGGUAGCGAACAGGAUUAGAUACCCUGGUAGUCCAUGCCGUAAACGAUGAGUGCUAAGUGUUGGAGGGUUUCCGCCCUUCAGUGCUGCAGCUAACGCAUUAAGCACUCCGCCUGGGGAGUACGACCGCAAGGUUGAAACUCAAAGGAAUUGACGGGGGCCCGCACAAGCGGUGGAGCAUGUGGUUUAAUUCGAUGCUACGCGAAGAACCUUACCGGGUCUUGACAUCUUCUGCCAACCUAAGAGAUUAGGCGUUCCCUUCGGGGACAGAAUGACAGGUGGUGCAUGGUUGUCGUCAGCUCGUGUCGUGAGAUGUUGGGUUAAGUCCCGCAACGAGCGCAACCCUUAUUGUUAGUUGCCAGCAUUCAGUUGGGCACUCUAGCAAGACUGCCGGUGACAAACCGGAGGAAGGUGGGGAUGACGUCAAAUCAUCAUGCCCCUUAUGACCUGGGCUACACACGUGCUACAAUGGACGGUACAACG
Molecule: ribosomal RNA, 637 nt
Filed under: uncultured bacterium
Lineage: Bacteria
Description: bacterial SSU rRNA
Rfam family: Bacterial small subunit ribosomal RNA
Source: RNAcentral